This 117-nucleotide signal recognition particle RNA is filed under the name Gorilla gorilla gorilla (western lowland gorilla). RNAcentral's name for it is "Metazoan signal recognition particle RNA". It matches the Rfam family "Metazoan signal recognition particle RNA". Rfam says of the family: The signal recognition particle (SRP) is a universally conserved ribonucleoprotein. Lineage: Eukaryota; Metazoa; Chordata; Mammalia; Primates; Hominidae. The record is from Rfam by way of RNAcentral.
GCCAGGCGUGGUGGCUCACGCCUGUAAUCCCAGCACUUCGGGAGGCUGAGGCGGGUGGAUCACCUGAGGUCAGGAGUUCGAGACCAGCCUGGCCAACAUGGUGAAACCCCGUCUCUA